UAGUGAUCGGUGAAGAAGAGAGUAGUACAGGUGACUUUAAAAGCGAGUUGGGGAUGGUGAAAGCCCAAUGAAAAAAUCUUGUACGAAGCGCACUUCUGAGAUGUUACCUGAAAAAAGUAGGGCUAACCGGAAAAGAUUCCGUUAUCAGAUGAGUGGUUCAAAUAUGAACAACUAGAGUGGUACCGCGGAAAAAAAGCAUUUCGUCUCUAAC
This 211-nucleotide non-coding RNA is filed under the name Priestia koreensis. RNAcentral describes it as "Bacillus koreensis T-box sequence". It matches the Rfam family "T-box leader". From Rfam's summary of the family: Uncharged tRNA acts as the effector for transcription antitermination of genes in the T-box leader family. T-boxes are found upstream of many aminoacyl-tRNA synthetase genes and some amino acid biosynthetic genes usually in Gram-positive bacteria. Lineage: Bacteria; Bacillati; Bacillota; Bacilli; Caryophanales; Bacillaceae. The record is from RNAcentral.